This 468-nucleotide ribosomal RNA is filed under the name uncultured bacterium. RNAcentral describes it as "partial 16S ribosomal RNA". It matches the Rfam family "Bacterial small subunit ribosomal RNA", at positions 28 to 507 of the family's 1533-position model. The record is from RNAcentral.
GACGAACGCUGGCGGCGUGCUUAAUACAUGCAAGUCGAACGGAAAGGCCCUGCUUUUGUUGGGUUCUCGAGUGGCGAACGGGUGAGUAACACGUGAGUAACCCGUCCUUGACUUUGGGAUAUCUUCAGGAAACUGGGGCUAAUAUCGGGUAGGAGCUCCUGCUGCAUGGGGUGGGUUGGAAAGUUUCGGCGUUUGGGGAUGGACUCGCGGCUUAUCAGCUUGUUUGUCGGGUAGGUGUAUACCAGGGCUUUGACGGAUAGCCGACCUGAGAGGGUGGACGGCCACCAUGCGACUGAGAUACGCCCCAGACUCCUACGGGCGGCAACAGGGGAAAAUCUGGCACAACGAGCGGAAGUCUGAUACGACAACGCCGCGUGCGGGAAAACGGGUUUCGGGUUGUAAACAGCUUUCGACUGUAACGAAGCGUGAGUGACGGUACUGAGUAAAGAAGCAACGGCUAACUACGUG